UACGAAGGGGGCUAGCGUUGUUCGGAAUUACUGGGCGUAAAGCGCACGUAGGCGGACAUUUAAGUCAGGGGUGAAAUCCCAGAGCUCAACUCUGGAACUGCCUUUGAUACUGGGUGUCUUGAGUAUGGAAGAGGUGAGUGGAAUUCCGAGUGUAGAGGUGAAAUUCGUAGAUAUUCGCAAGAACACCAGUGGCGAAGGCGGCUCACUGGCUCGAUACUGACGCUGAGGUGCGAAAGCGUGGGGAGCAAACAGG
This 253-nucleotide ribosomal RNA is filed under the name uncultured bacterium. Its description in RNAcentral is "partial 16S ribosomal RNA". It matches the Rfam family "Bacterial small subunit ribosomal RNA", at positions 524 to 776 of the family's 1533-position model. The record is from RNAcentral.